Molecule: ribosomal RNA, 484 nt
Filed under: swine fecal bacterium FPC74
Lineage: Bacteria
Description: bacterial SSU rRNA
Rfam family: Bacterial small subunit ribosomal RNA
Source: RNAcentral
GAGAGUUUGAUUCUGGCUCAGGACGAACGCUGGCGGCGUGCCUAACACAUGCAAGUCGAGCGAGGAGAUUCCCUUCGGGGAUGAACCUAGCGGCGGACGGGUGAGUAACACGUGGGCAACCUACCUUAUAGAGGGGAAUAGCCUUCCGAAAGGAAGAUUAAUACCGCAUAACAUUACAUUUUCGCAUGAAAAAGUAAUUAAAGGAGUAAUCCGCUAUAAGAUGGGCCCGCGGCGCAUUAGCUAGUUGGUGAGGUAACGGCUCACCAAGGCGACGAUGCGUAGCCGACCUGAGAGGGUGAUCGGCCACAUUGGGACUGAGACACGGCCCAGACUCCUACGGGAGGCAGCAGUGGGGAAUAUUGCACAAUGGGGGAAACCCUGAUGCAGCAACGCCGCGUGAGUGAUGAAGGUCUUCGGAUCGUAAAGCUCUGUCUUCAGGGACGAUAAUGACGGUACCUGAGGAGGAAGCCACGGCUAACUACGU